Molecule: long non-coding RNA, 371 nt
Organism: Amphiprion ocellaris (clown anemonefish)
Lineage: Eukaryota; Metazoa; Chordata; Actinopteri; Pomacentridae
Source: Ensembl
AGGACACGCCCCUUUGAGCUGCGUGCUACAGCGAGGCUAAGCUAGUGGGGGAAAAGUUUCAGUGCAUUCCGUUGAUGUCGACGGUGUGAAAACGGAAGCAAGUAUGCCGGCUCACUGUGCUGCAUACAGUUACACACUGCGUCGUACGAUUGAGACAAGGAAACUUGGAAUGACUUUUCAUAGGUUUCCCAGAGACUAUGGGUUGAGGAGGAAUUGGAAGUUUGUCGGCUUAGACCUGGUGUCAUUCCAUCAUUGUUAAACUUCCCGGCUCAUCUUGGAAGAGUACGUGCCAGAAAGACCACAACCAAGCAGCCUUGAGAUCUUAGACAGCGUCUCCCUGAGACCAAAGAACUACAGACUCUUCACAACCU